GCUCCUGUAGCUCAGGGGAUAGAGCGCCGGAUUCCGGAUCCGGAUGUCGCAGGUUCAAUUCCUGCCAGGAGCAC
RNAcentral lists this transfer RNA (74 nucleotides) under Streptomyces phage Frankenweenie. RNAcentral describes it as "tRNA-Arg". It matches the Rfam family "tRNA". Rfam says of the family: Transfer RNA (tRNA) molecules are approximately 80 nucleotides in length. Their secondary structure includes four short double-helical elements and three loops (D, anti-codon, and T loops). The record is from RNAcentral. Lineage: Duplodnaviria; Heunggongvirae; Uroviricota; Caudoviricetes.